UACGGGGGGGGUAAGCGUUGUUCGGAAUUACUGGGCGUAAAGGGCUCGUAGGCGGCCAACUAAGUCAUACGUGAAAUCCCUCAGCUCAACUGGGGAACUGCGUCUGAUACUAGAUGGCUUGAGUGCAGGAGAGGAACGCGGAAUUCCAGGUGUAGCGGUGAAAUGCGUAGAUAUCUGGAGGAACACCGGUGGCGAAGGCGGCAUCCUGGACCGGUAUUGACGCUGAGGCGCGAAAGCCAGGGGAGCAAACGGG
This 253-nucleotide ribosomal RNA is filed under the name uncultured bacterium. Its description in RNAcentral is "partial 16S ribosomal RNA". It matches the Rfam family "Bacterial small subunit ribosomal RNA", at positions 524 to 776 of the family's 1533-position model. The record is from RNAcentral.